GACGAACGCUGGCGGCGUGCUUAACACAUGCAAGUCGAACGGUAAGGCCCUUCGGGGUACACGAGUGGCGAACGGGUGAGUAACACGUGGGUGAUCUGCCCUGCACUUCGGGAUAAGCCUGGGAAACUGGGUCUAAUACCGGAUAGGACCACUGCCUGCAUGGGUGGUGGUGGAAAGCUUUUGCGGUGUGGGAUGGGCCCGCGGCCUAUCAGCUUGUUGGUGGGGUGAUGGCCUACCAAGGCGACGACGGGUAGCCGGCCUGAGAGGGUGACCGGCCACACUGGGACCGAGAUACGGCCCAGACUCCUACGGGAGGCAGCAGUGGGGAAUAUUGCACAAUGGGCGCAAGCCUGAUGCAGCGACGCCGCGUGAGGGAUGACGGCCUUCGGGUUGUAAACCUCUUUCAGCACCGACGAAGCGCAAGUGACGGUAGGUGCAGAAGAAGGACCGGCCAACUACGUGCCAGCAGCCGCGGUAA
RNAcentral lists this ribosomal RNA (478 nucleotides) under uncultured bacterium. Its description in RNAcentral is "partial 16S ribosomal RNA". It matches the Rfam family "Bacterial small subunit ribosomal RNA", at positions 28 to 523 of the family's 1533-position model. The record is from RNAcentral.